UCUCUAUAAAUGUUUUUAUUUUAGAUUCUUCAAUGGAUAAGCGUUACAAGGUAAGCCAGAAGGGACCUCACGAUCCCUUUUCCUUGACCAUCACGAGCUUGAGCAAAGCUGACCUUGGAGUUUAUUACUGCUGUCUGCCAUCGGGCUGCUCUAAGAACAUUAACGAGGAGCAGUGUCAAAGCUUUGACAUCGAUAAAAAAAGUGAACCAACUGCUGGAACAAUGUCUGUGGUUGCCCAUAACGUGUUCCUCAUCUUGAGUUUCUUUGUGGUGUCGCUUGUGAGUUUGUAGAGGACGGGGUAGCGUACCAAACAACUUGAUCUUCUCUCUUGACUUCAGCUGAUUUUCAUAUUAGGAGAUGUUCACAGCUUCUGUACGCCACUGAUUCACAAUCAUUCCUAUACCGUCCUCUAAAUUUUUCGGUUGCGUGAAUUUGUAAAACUUCCCUAAUGUUUUAUUAGUCUUAUUAGUCUGCUGGUUAUGACUAGUUUUUCAAGUUUUUUUCUUCGGCUAUUAUAAACAAAAUAUUGGACCCAACUUUCAAACACUUCAAAUGUAAUCAUCUUUUGCUUGUUUAUUAUUAGAUAUAAGGGGUAAUUAAAAUUGCAGACCCUAAAGUCGAGUGGCAGCCUUGCCAGUUAGUACAUACCGCCCUGCGUUCACAGAUUAACAAAAAGCUGUGAACAGAAUCCAGUAUCCAGUACAGUGAGAUCAGAAAGUAAAAUCUACAGUUAUGUUAAGUAAAAUAUAUUGUCUGCAUCAUUUCACUUAUUUGAAGAAUAUUGGCCUCCCAAGUAAACAAUUAUUUAUCCAAUGGAUGUCGUUACACAAAAUUCACCGUA
Pocillopora damicornis (cauliflower coral) is the source of this 841-nucleotide long non-coding RNA. NCBI's taxonomy places the organism in Eukaryota, Metazoa, Cnidaria, Anthozoa, Scleractinia, Pocilloporidae. The record is from RefSeq and is a predicted model, not a curated record.